CAAAUUCAUUGAAAGAUAGUCACUUGAGUUGAAAAGACUCAAAUAUAAAUUUAAGAACAUAUUGUCUAUUGCUCUGCUGUGAAAAUAAUCUAAAUUUUAAAUGUAAAUCACUAUUCAUUGCAUUGUGCCAGUAUGCCAUAAUAUCUGCAUCAUUAGACUAGGAAAGAAGCCACCAAGACAACUGUAUAAAAAAGACCCCAGGGACAACGUGACAUGCAAAUGACAUUAUGAAAAAUAUAUAUGGGGGCAUUAGAAUAAAGGUACUGUGAGCUAUAAGAGGAAUCGUUUAUUUCAAGUAACAAUUUCUAAUUGUUUAUUUCAAAUGCAGCUUAUUCUUGACUUUAACUUGGGAUGCUGAAAAGACUGUUCGAGGAGACCUCUGAACAAUACACAGCUUUCUAUACCAGAAUAUAAGCCUCAUUUUCUCAUCGCCUUUGGAAUCUCACAGUAGAUGAAAUACAUCUCUGUCAACAGGAAAUUCUGGUACACAGGAAAAAAAAGGACCACUUCCCCAAAAGGAACAAAGAGAAGUGUUAUAAGCCAAACUUGGACAAAAUUAAUAGCUGCUUGCCUACAGCAGAGUUUCUUGACCUUGCACCCAGAACCUCCAUUCAUUUCAGGAGAAUUCUCAGUAAAGUGGGAAUUUUGGAGAUUCUUCCCUUCUUGUCUCCCGAGGAUAAAGAAGGCAAAACCGACAAAGGGAUUCACCGUGAAGAGGCUGCUUACUGUGGGGAAUUCAACAGACCCAGAAGAAAUUUGGCAGGAGCUGCCCAAAGCUUGAGAAUGAGGCCUAAGACUUGACUCGCGAUUCCACUUGAGAAACCUUGCGAGUACACACAAAGCUUUGUCUGUCCUUUAAUAAAGGGAAAGGCUGGAAAGAUUCUAAAUGUCCACUACCAGGAGAUCAACUGAGUGAAUUAUGGUUGAGUCGAUACCAAUUAUUCCAUAUCUACAUAAAUGAAUAUCACACAAUCACAGGAAACAGGGUUAUCUGAGAAAAAGCCUAUUAGAAAGUAUGCCACACACUAUGUUCCAUUUGAAAAAACACUUUGUACAGGAAAAAGUUGGCAUGGUGCUAAUGAGAUCACUGAUAAUUUAUCCUUGUGUUUGUCCCCCUUGUCUUUUUCCCCCAAGAAUAUUACAUAUU
This is a long non-coding RNA of Talpa occidentalis (Iberian mole), 1147 nucleotides long. RefSeq lists it as uncharacterized. The transcript is spliced from 3 exons. The record is from RefSeq and is a predicted model, not a curated record. Lineage: Eukaryota; Metazoa; Chordata; Mammalia; Eulipotyphla; Talpidae.